AACGAACGCUGGCGGCAUGCCUAACACAUGCAAGUCGAACGAGACCUUCGGGUCUAGUGGCGAACGGGUGCGUAACGCGUGGGAACCUGCCCUUAGGUUCGGAAUAACUCCCCGAAAGGGGUGCUAAUACCGGAUAAUGUCUUCGGACCAAAGAUUUAUCGCCUUUGGAUGGGCCCGCGUUGGAUUAGCUAGUUGGUAGGGUAAAAGCCUACCAAGGCGACGAUCCAUAGCUGGUCUGAGAGGAUGAUCAGCCACACUGGGACUGAGACACGGCCCAGACUCCUACGGGAGGCAGCAGUGGGGAAUAUUGGACAAUGGGCGAAAGCCUGAUCCAGCAAUGCCGCGUGAGUGAUGAAGGCCUUAGGGUUGUAAAGCUCUUUUACCCGGGAUGAUAAUGACAGUACCGUGAGAAUAAGCUCCGGCUAACUCCGUG
RNAcentral lists this ribosomal RNA (433 nucleotides) under uncultured bacterium. Its description in RNAcentral is "partial 16S ribosomal RNA". It matches the Rfam family "Bacterial small subunit ribosomal RNA", at positions 29 to 507 of the family's 1533-position model. The record is from RNAcentral.